CUCUCAUCUCUCAAGAGUCUCUCGAUGUUUUUUUUGUUGCAAGUGGUAGAAGGUCGACUCAUCGGUAGGAUACUGAAGAAUCUGAGGAAGAGGAGAAAGAAGGAAAAGAGACAUUUAUGAAGCAUUUAAUACCUCCCAGGUGCUCUUCCAAGCACUUUGCUUGAAUCUCUUUUCUUCCUCACAACCACCCUACAAGAUGAAGACUUGUGUGUUUUGAGGAGAAAGAUCCCAGAGGAAGUCUCAUUGACAUCACUUCGUAUCCAGGGUGUGCACUCCCAAGAUGCCUUACGGCUGUUGACCUUCACCUUCACCACUUGGCUGAGGUUGUGUCAGUUUUCUUCACUACAAAGUUAUUCUUUGUCCCCCUUUUUCACACGGUCCCUUUGGAAGAAGCCAUUACAAGAAGUCAACACUUGAGGAG
Leptonychotes weddellii (Weddell seal) is the source of this 421-nucleotide non-coding RNA. Lineage: Eukaryota; Metazoa; Chordata; Mammalia; Carnivora; Phocidae. The record is from RefSeq and is a predicted model, not a curated record.